AUGUUUUACAUUGUUUUGCAGCCUCCCUUGUUGCUACGAGGGGUAAGGGAUAUUGGGUGGGAGCAUGCAGUGGAUCUUGAUGGAAAUAAAAAACGGUGGCAGUGCAAGUGGUGUGAUUUAUGUCGAAGUGGUGGGGUAACUACAUUGAAGGCUCAUCUUACUGACAGCAGCUGCCCGAAAAUUCCAAUGGAAAUGUCAAAGCAAGUGUUGCACUUCGUUGAAGAGAAAAGAGCAGCACGCCAACUUUUUAAUAGGGACCCAUGGCCCCCUUACAAGAAAAUUGAUGGGGUUAGUCUUUUUUGCUCAGAAGUGAAAGAGGAGGGGACUGUAUCAUAUAAGAAUGGUCAGCAACCUUCAAAUAAUGGUAUGCAUAUGCAAACAUCAGGGAAUUGCACUAUUGACGAGUUGGCAGCUCGAAGCAACCAAUGUGGUACAGAACAUAGUGGCCAACCAGUUGAGGAUUAUGAGCAGUCAAAGAAAGGCAGUGAUUGGGCAGAGGAGCAGUUGCCAAUCGAGAAUGGCAAGCACCAUGUACUAAAUAAUGAGCACCACAUUGUUGACAAGAACAAUGGGAAUCCACAAAAUAGAGAGAAGUUGAACUUAGAGUGUGAUAACUCAAUACAAGGUGCCGUAACUACAUUGAAGGCUCAUCUUACUGGAUCAGAAGAGGAAGGGACUGUACCAUGUAAGAAUGAUCAGCAACCUUCAAAUAAUGAUAUGCAUAUGCAAACAUCGGAGAAGUGCGCUAUUGAUGAGAAGUUGGCAGCUCGAAGCAACCAAUGCGGUAAACAUCAUUGUGGACAACCAGUUGAGAAUUAUGAACAGUCAAAGAUAUGCAGCGAUUGGCCCGAGGAGCAGUUACCAAUGGAGCAUGAAAAGCAUCAUGUACUAAAUAAUGAGCACCAGAUUGUGGACAAGACCACUGAGAAUUCACAAAACAAACAGAUAUUGAAACAUCCUCGGAAGACCAGGUUUAACUUACGGAAACAUAUUGUUAUCAUUGAUGAAAUUGCAAGGCAUUGGAGGUGUAGGUACUGUGGUAUGGAUGGACAUGGCAAAACAUCUAGGCUCCAUUAUCAUCUUGCUGGCGUCUUUCGUCAUCCUAAGUGCACAAGUGUCCCUAAAGAAGUUUUUGCAAAGGCAAAACACCAUAUUCUAAUAAAGAGAAGGCCCGGGAUGAAAAAGACUGGGCAGCAAGCUCCUCCAGAGCCACAAAUUCUUGUGCAAUCCAGUGUAAUACUGGAGAACAAUGAUCCAGCAUUUAGCAAUCUUCCACAAUUGCCAAUAAAUGGUUUGUCGAGCGAGGCGCGUUCCAGUUACCCGACAAGGUUAAGGGACAAUGCAUGGGAACAUUCACUGGUUUAUGACAGAGAAAAAGGACAUUGGAAGUGCAAGUGGUGCAGCUUAGAGGGUUAUCAUGGUGUAACUAGAUUAAAGUGGCAUCUUGUUGGCUGGCAAAAUCAUCCUCGAUGCUGUAAAAUUCCAGAAGAUGCCGCUAAGAGGGUUAGAGACCAAAUGAUAUCAAGGGAAAAGAAGAAAGUGAGAACAUCAGGUCCACAUGCCGGUAUUGACAGUGGUGACAUUCUUUGCUCUUCUAUGAGUUCACAAUUUGAUGAAGAGCAUUUCACUAUAGCUGUGCAGAAUAGUAGUUCUUCCCAAGCUUUUGAUGAAGCUAACAGAACAUCAAAUACAUGCAACACGUUAUCAAAUACUAUAUCCGGUUCUCAGCCACUCAUGGAGGGCCCUCAUGGAAUAUUAUAUAGUAACACAAACAAAUCUGAGAUGCUAUCUAGAAGAAGUGACUGUUGGAGUCACUGGAGAUAUGUUUUGAAUGGACUGAUGCAUUUGCAUGGUGUACAGGAGGGUGCUGGCAUCCAGAGUUGCAUCCGUGAUGUCCUCCACAGUUGCUCUAAAUUUGAAUCUCUCAGGGACAAAGUGGAAAUGGAUUCUGACAGAACAGUGUCAAGGAAUACGGGUAUUGCUGAGUGCAAGAACGUUCUUGUGGACAUUUUGAGAUCAGAGGAUUUUGCCUUGUUAUGCAAUGUUCUUCGCAAAACUGUGCAUCAAGAUGGGGAAAGGACUAAGUAUUUCGAUUUUGGUGUGAUUGACUCUAGAAUGAAAAAUGGAGAGUAUGGGUGUGCACCUGAAAUAUUCAAAGAUGAUUUAAAACUGUUAUGGGAAAAUCUUAAAAUGGCUGGCCAAGAUAUCAUUGACCUAGCAAAUAAUCUUUCAAGUCUCACAGAAGCCUCCUACACAAAUGAGGUUGGAAGACAAAGAGGAUCAUGUGAUUGUGAGGAGGAACUCAAGGGAGCUGUGUUGGGCAGCUCUGAACCCAAGAAAUUGGUCGAAUCAGCUCCAUCAGUACCCUCGACCUCACAGGGAUGCCAACCAUUGGACUAUCCAGAGCGAACAGAUGUUUCUGAUGUUCAAAAGGGCAGUGCCUGUGACCAAUGUGGCAAAGAGACGAGAGGUGUCAGCACCGUCAUAUGUAACGUAUGCAAGUUAGUGUGUCACAUGUCAUGCAUUGAUCCUCCGAUACCAUCCACGUCGACGGGAAGCUGGUAUUGCAAAGGCUGCAGCAGUACCACCUGCAACGAAUCAGCUCAAGGAGGUUAUGAACCGAAUAGCUUGCAUGGAAAUUGUGUCCUAUGCAAAAGACUUGAGGUGUGCAUGCCCCCAGAAUGCAAAGAACAGACACCUGUUGGUAAGUCAAGAGCAACUGUGCUUUCCAGUACUGAGGGUCGGGAACUGUCGAACAUUGACCCCGGUGGUUCAUGCAAGAUAUGUGGAACUCCUGAAGAGGAUGCCAAGAGAUUCCUCGUAUGUGGUCACAGCCACUGUCCAUACAAGUACUACCACAUUUGCUGUCUGAAGUCUAAACAGAUUGCUAGCGAUAUGCAGCGGGACAAACCGUGCUGGUACUGUCCAUCAUGCCUUUGUCGGGUUUGUCUAUCUGACAGAGAUGACGACCUGACCAUUCUGUGCGACGGCUGCGACGAGGCUUAUCAUCUGUACUGCAUAACACCUCGGCGUACUUGGAUACCCAAGGGGAAGUGGUAUUGCUCGCGUUGUAGCGUGGAGAGGGCAAAGGCGGGGAUGAGGCGGUAUGAGAAGAAGAUGCUGAAGCAGCAUCGCAAGGAUGAUGAUGCGAGGCUGGAAAGUAGGAAUUUUGCAGCGGUGGAUUUGCUGCUUUCUGCUGCAGAGAAGCUGAGGGAGGAUGAGCAACUGGUGGCUUGUGCAGAUUACUAG
RNAcentral lists this ribosomal RNA (3249 nucleotides) under Triticum aestivum (bread wheat). RNAcentral describes it as "partial small subunit ribosomal RNA". Lineage: Eukaryota; Viridiplantae; Streptophyta; Magnoliopsida; Poales; Poaceae. The record is from RNAcentral.